This 367-nucleotide ribosomal RNA is filed under the name uncultured bacterium. RNAcentral's name for it is "bacterial SSU rRNA". It matches the Rfam family "Bacterial small subunit ribosomal RNA", at positions 28 to 400 of the family's 1533-position model. The record is from RNAcentral.
GAUGAACGCUGGCGGCGUGCCUAACACAUGCAAGUCGAGCGAUCUUCUUCGGAAGAGAGCGGCGGACGGGUGAGUAACGCGUGGGUAACCUGCCCUGUACACACGGAUAACAUACCGAAAGGUAUGCUAAUACGAGAUAAUAUACUUUUAUCGCAUGGUAGAAGUAUCAAAGCUUUUGCGGUACAGGAUGGACCCGCGUCUGAUUAGCUAGUUGGUAAGGUAACGGCUUACCAAGGCGACGAUCAGUAGCCGACCUGAGAGGGUGAUCGGCCACAUUGGAACUGGAGACACGGUCCAAACUCCGUACGGGAGCAGCAGGUGGGAAUAUUGCAACAAGUGGGACGAAAGCCUGAUGCAGCAACGCCGC